GUGGGGAAGCAUAGAGGUGGAAGGGCUGAUGAUUUUUCAGAAAAUUAUUUUCCAUCGUGAGUGGAGAGUGGCCGGAAAUUCGGUUUAUGAGUGCUAUUUUCCAUUCUGAUUGGAGAGAGUGAAAGUUCGCUUUAUGAACGAUGGGUGGAUAUAUUACAUCGACUCUGCUGCCUAGAAUACAAAGUGGUAUAACAUCACCUAAAGCUGCUCGGAUUUUAUUUUACCCAACAUUACUAUGGAAUAUUUUCACUGUGGCAAUGAGUCGCAAAAGAAGAUGGUAUGACAGAAUUGAUAGGAAUGUUGUACUUGGAGCAUUACCUUUGCGUAUUAUUUCACAGAGUCUGAUCAAUAAAGAAAAUAUUGGAGGGGUUGUGACAUUGAAUGAAGAAUAUGAAACAAGAUUACUUAUGUUUUCAAAUGAGAAAUGGAAAAGUCUGGGAAUUAAACAUUUGCACUUGCCAACACCAGAUUUUAAUAAUGCACCAGACUUUGAAAAACUGAUGGAAGGAGUACAAUUUAUUAAACAAUUUGAUAGUCUCAAUAUCAGUUGUUACGUGCACUGCAAAGCUGGAAGGGGAAGAAGUGCAACUUUGGUGGCUUGUUAUUUAAUGGAGUUGUACAAUAUUACUCCUGAUGAAGCAAUCAACAUCCUAAAAUCAAAAAGGGAACAAACACUUCUUGGGUCAAAGCAAGUGACAGCAGUAAAAGAAUUCUAUGAACACCAUAUUCAAACAAGUUCUAGGCCACGUAUACCUAUACAAGAAUAACAUAUGAUGUACAUAAUUUUAGCGGCACAUUGGCCAAGAGUAUGAUACCCAGCUGGUCCUGCUUUUUUCUAAAAAUGACAGAAAUCGUAUGUGAAUCUAACUAUAUAUAACCACUACCAGCAGAACAUACUUCGAAAAACAAACAAACAGUUUACUGUCAUGAUAUUUUGACUCGAUUUCAUAGUCAGAUCGAUUCUUGGUAAU
RNAcentral lists this unclassified non-coding RNA (971 nucleotides) under Dendronephthya gigantea. RNAcentral describes it as "phosphatidylglycerophosphatase and protein-tyrosine phosphatase 1-like, transcript variant X1". Lineage: Eukaryota; Metazoa; Cnidaria; Anthozoa; Malacalcyonacea; Nephtheidae. The record is from RNAcentral.